AGAGUAUCCUUUCUUCAGAACAUUUAAAAGAUAUCUGUGGAUGUGAACUACCGAAGGAAUUUGUAAGAAUAAGAUGACAUUUUCUUAAAUUGAACAGAUGCAUGUAUGCACCUUAAUUUUAAGCAAUACACAUGUCUGUGGACUAUCCAUUAUUUUCAACACAAUAAUAAAAGAAGGACUUUUGCAAUAUCAUGUUACAAUCCAAAAUUAUGUUUUUACUGAUUACAGAGUUUGAUAAGGUAUCAGGUGAGGACAUUUUAUGUUUUGUGAGUGAUACUGGUAGAAAUCAUUCACAGUUACAGAG
Molecule: long non-coding RNA, 304 nt
Filed under: Mytilus galloprovincialis (Mediterranean mussel)
Lineage: Eukaryota; Metazoa; Mollusca; Bivalvia; Mytilida; Mytilidae
Source: RNAcentral